GAUGCGCCGAGAAAUGGUCGGG
Molecule: transfer RNA, 22 nt
Filed under: Tristagma bivalve
Lineage: Eukaryota; Viridiplantae; Streptophyta; Magnoliopsida; Asparagales; Amaryllidaceae
Description: partial tRNA-Phe
Source: RNAcentral